This is a long non-coding RNA of Micropterus salmoides (largemouth bass), 2039 nucleotides long. RefSeq lists it as uncharacterized. The record is from RefSeq and is a predicted model, not a curated record. Lineage: Eukaryota; Metazoa; Chordata; Actinopteri; Centrarchiformes; Centrarchidae. The transcript is spliced from 3 exons.
CUUGUUCCUGUGUUGGCACUCUCAGCCUACACAUUAACACACUUUGAGGCGACAGACGUCAGAAACACAUCAGCAUCUUUUGGUCAACUGGGGAAACUUUGGUGGUUUGAGUUUUUCACCUGGUGCUUGGAGAAGAAGAAGAGGACAGGAGGUGAUGAUGAUGAUGACCACAAUGAAGGUUUACCUGCUGAUAUGCGUUGUCGUAAUUUUAUCAAGGGAAGAUGAUUAUGAAGCUGAAACACAUGAUGAAGAUGAUUCAUUCUAUGGCAGUGGUGACUACACAGAUGAAGACAACCAACCCCCUCUUUCCUCCUCAGCUGCCAACAACGCCAGGGGUUCCUCUCGCUCCUCCUCCACAGCUAACCUCAACCACCUCUUUCUGGUUUCUGUUCUCUUAGUUUUGUGUCUGUUCGCAUAUUAAAAUGCAUUUUUUAUUAUGUUUGUGGGAACAUUUGUUAAACUGGCUACUGUACAUGUAACACAUAUGGCUAACACAUAAGGCAUUUAGGCAACUGUACUUGUAACACAUUGUAAACUUUAAUAAACCGUUAAGUGAAAAGACUUAUAUUUAUUCGCCUUCUGUAACAGUCCAGGAUUGGUUGGUGAAAUGAUCAUGUUGUGUCUGUUUGCAGAUGAUGUCACCCUAUUUGUGUAUUUCUUAUAUGGAAAACAUUCUCAGUUUCAUUUCAGACAAUAUUAUUAUGGUUUUAACUCCUGUACAUUGUGGCUGUAGUUUCUCAGCUUAAGAACUGUCAGAGAUGAGAAGUCCUAACAGGAACUUGGACUUGUGGUUACAUUGUGACUUUCUGCUGCUUAUCUGAUGUUAAUAAUGAGUUCCUUUAAUGAUUGCCUCUGUAAUGUCAAACUGGAUGUCACAACAUUUCCUCCAUCUGAACAAAAAAGAGAUCAAUUGGAUCUAAGCACAAGGUCAAAACUAAUUUUGCCAUCUGCUCGAUCCUUAUUGGGUCAUAUCAAGCCUGUUGCGAGGAAUCUUGGUAUCUGGUUUGACAGUAAUUGAGCUUUUGAGCCGCAAACCACAAAGCUUGUGCAAUCAUGUUUUUAUCAUAGAUAUAUAUCGAAAAUACAAUCUAUAUAAACUUUUAAGGACACUGAGACCAUUUUACAUGCCUUCAUCUCAUCAUGCCUGGAUUGCUGCAACAGCCUUUUUACUUGCUUGAACCAAAAAUCUAUUGAUUGACUCCAGACUGUGCAGAACUCAGCUGCCAGGCUUUGAAGCAGAUCCAAGAAACGUGAUCACAUCGCUCCCGUUUUAGCCUCUUUACACCAGCUCCAAGUAUGUUUUAGAAUAGACUUAGAAUUUUAUUGAUUACUUUUAAAACUCUCCAUGGCCUUUCACCAUGUCAUAUCUCUGACCACCAUCUCAUUCUGUUACAACCCAACACAUGGUACAUGUGUGCAAUGAUUAAUAUGUGGUGUGUGUUGUCAGUAGAAGAACAGAAUGAAACUAAUGGGCAGCGAGGCAGAGCGAAGUGAAAGCUGCAGGAACAACAUUGGCGUCUGUCUGUCCACGUGCUCUCAGACCCAAGACACAGAACUCUUUGGGCCGCCACAGCGUUUUCGAAUAGACUUAAAAUUUUAUUGAUUACUUUUAAAGCUCUUCAUGGCGUCUCUCCAUGUCAUAUCUCUGACCUUUUCAUCCUGAACACACCACCACGUACCGUGAGAUGCUUGGACAGAGGUCUGUUGUCUGUUCCAGAGGUGGGGCUGAGAACCAAAGGGGACAGAGCAUUUGCAGUCAGGGCCCUGAGGCUCUGGAAGAGCCUGCCUGAGGAAAUCAGGUUGGCUGAGUCAGUGAAGUCUUUCAAGUCCCUUAUUAAAACAUAGUUUUAUCUGAGGUCUUUUCCAGAGUUUUACAUUUCUUUGAACAUGCUUGUACAUCCAUAAAAUGUUUUUCUUGUUUUUAUAAAGUUUUCCUUUAAAACAGAUGGUUUUAUGAAUUGUGUGUUUUAUUUUGCUGCCUUUGUUAAGCACUGUGUAAUUUGGAUGCGCUCUAUAAAUAAAGAUUAUUAUUAGUAAUA